GGCCUGUCGGAUACUCUUUCCCUGUUGCACUACUGUGGGCCUCUGGGAAGCAGUGCAAUGAUGAAAGGGCAUCAGCCAAGCC
RNAcentral lists this microRNA precursor (82 nucleotides) under Sorex araneus (European shrew). Its description in RNAcentral is "miRNA (ENSSARG00000015673.1)". It matches the Rfam family "mir-130 microRNA precursor family". From Rfam's summary of the family: The hairpin precursors (represented here) are predicted based on base pairing and cross-species conservation -- their extents are not known. Lineage: Eukaryota; Metazoa; Chordata; Mammalia; Eulipotyphla; Soricidae. The record is from RNAcentral.